Molecule: long non-coding RNA, 2312 nt
Organism: Drosophila yakuba
Lineage: Eukaryota; Metazoa; Arthropoda; Insecta; Diptera; Drosophilidae
Exons: 2
Source: RefSeq, a predicted model, not a curated record
CGUGUUGCUUGCGCCGGAAUUUAUUUGGUUUUUGUUAUUUACAAAUUCCGCAGCCGCUAAAAAAUGAGAAGAAAAAGCCAUAGUAGCGAGUUUCUCGCUCUCCGGCUUUUUUGGCUUUCGGGUAUGGGUAUUUUUGACAUUUUGCUUUGCUCAUCGCUCUUUUUGUUUUGGGCGCCUCUUCUUGUCUAACCAUCAAUGUCAAUCUUGGUGGCAUUGCUUUUUGCCUUUUGGCCACUUUUUCGCCCUCUUUUUGCCACAUUCUCCAAUCUCCAAUCCACUCCGCGCAGUCGGCGACAAGAGUGUAAAAAUAUUGCCACAUUAUUCCACUGCAGCUGGGGAUGUUCGUACUUCGGGGCUCUGCCACAAAAGUUGCAUGACAGAUAUAGAAGGGAGCUAUCGGCAGUCUACCUAAUGACGAAUCGCACCAGGAGAUUAUUUAAAAAUGUGAAAAAAAAUGUGUUUAAAAGAUUGAAACUUUGAAGAAGCAUAUUAAAAUAACAAGCCAAGGCCAUUACAACUAAUGUAUAAAUAUAUUUUAAAACAGUGGUGACGAACAUAUUAAUAUCUUAAACUUAUGAUAAAAAAAGAAAUUUAUUAUACAGUUCGUAAAAAUGUAUGAUGAUAUUCUAUGCCUAUCUUACCAUCUUUUCAUGUUUCUAUUGUUCGCUCGAACAUAUAUAUAUCAAGAGUAAUGACUUAAUUAAUGGAAUAUUUAUUGCUUUGUAUACAACAAUUUAAAAAUAUUUCAUUACCGGUAAUAAAGUAAAAAUCUGCUUUUUAAAAUCCAGAAGUACAAAAAAUGUUACCCAUCACCUGUCCGGAAUCCUAUGAGGAAACUGUCGCUUUCCAAUGUAUUUAUUAAUUUUGAAGUCGAACUAAUAUCUUUUAUGAAAUCAUCACCUGUCCGGAAUCCUAUGAAGAAACUGUCACUUUCCAAUGUAUUUAUUAAUUUUGAAGUCGAACUAAUAUCUUUUAUGAAAACAAAGAAGAGGCUAGUUGUACGCAUUAUACAUAUAUCGAAAAAGUUUGAUCUUGGCAAAAGGGGUUUUUUAUAUAUUAAAUUUGUAUAUUGUAAAUAUAGCAAUGUUACAAACUUCUGGAAUUCCUGUCAAUGUUUUUAAGUUCUUGUAUCAGCAGAAAAUUCUUGAUUUGGUAUUUACGUUUAGGAAUACGGCGAUAUGGGUCAUUAUGCCAAAAUUACGAGAUACCCUUAAAAAGUAUAUACUUUAAAACAGUGUGCACUAAUUAUUUGUUAAAACAAUCGAGAAUGACAAAAUGAUUGACUAGGUUAUAUAGGUAAUUUAAUUUUUCAACUGUAUUGUCCACAAAUAUAGAAUUUUGUUGAGAUUAAGUUUGUUCCUCUUUUAUAUUAUUCUAGACAUAAUUAAUAAAGGUCAUGUGCUGGGAAUUUUGAAAAUGGAAAUGAUUACCGCCAGUUUUACUGCUUGUGCGUGUGCACAAGCAGAAUAUUAAUGAAAUACAUGCUCACAUUAGUUACGAUACAUUUUAUUUCAUCCAAAAUAAUUAAUAAUAUAAAAGUCACAGAAAGAUAUUACUAGUAUAAAACAAUAUAGGUAUAUACAGUUGUCUUAACGUAUACUUAAAUAUAUAUUUAAAAAUUCAACAAAUUUUGAAUGAAGUCAUAGUCAACAUCCAAAAUAUCUUCCGAUGAAGCAGAAGAACUAUUCGAGUCCCAGCAGAAAUUCUGUAGCAUUGGCUGAUCCUGUAUAUAAGGUUCAAUUAGGUUUUCUGUGACAGGGAUUGUUGACUCAAGACUCAGCAAAGUACUCGCCCAGCCUGAAUCGAAUUCGUUGAAGUGCAGUUGGAGAACAUCUAUUGGCUCAGGACAAAAUUCAUGGAGGUAGUCGUAGCUCUGAUGGGGUGGUGUAAUUUGACCAUCCUGUAGGACACCGCGAUCAUCCUGCCGCAGUGGAGCUGUUUCAAGAUUUGUGCUUGCAUAUUUAAGGAGGCGCUCCACGAUCUGCUCGUUCUCCAGAAGAUCUUCGCUCGAUUGGGAAGAAGGCGAAAUAGAUGUUGUCGGAGCUCCAAAGGCACCUUUCCUAUUGGUCGACUUUUUGAGUUUCAUUCGUCGAUUUUGGAACCAGAUCUUAACCUGUCUCUCUGUGAGUGCUAAACGCUGGGAUAUUUCGAUUCGCCUGGUUCGGGCUAAAUAUUUGUUGAGAUGGAACUCCCUUUCAAGUUCGAUUAGCUGAUGGCUGCUGAAUGCCGUGCGAGAUCUCUUCGAUUUCUCCGAGGACUUUGUUGAUGCAAUGGGAGCUGCUUCUACGUUGAGGUCCACGCAAGGAUACAUC